GAUGAACGCUGGCGGCGUGCCUAAUACAUGCAAGUCGAGCGAACGGACGAGAAGCUUGCUUCUCUGAUGUUAGCGGCAGACGGGUGAGUAACACGUGGAUAACCUACCUAUAAGACUGGGAUAACUUCGGGAAACCGGAGCUAAUACCGGAUGAUAUUUUGAACCGCAUGGUUCAAAAGUGAAAGACGGUCUUGCUGUCACUUAUAGAUGGAUCCGCGCUGCAUUAGCUAGUUGGUAAGGUAACGGCUUACCAAGGCAACGAUGCAUAGCCGACCUGAGAGGGUGAUCGGCCACACUGGAACUGAGACACGGUCCAGACUCCUACGGGAGGCAGCAGUAGGGAAUCUUCCGCAAUGGGCGAAAGCCUGACGGAGCAACGCCGCGUGAGUGAUGAAGGUCUUCGGAUCGUAAAACUCUGUUAUUAGGGAAGAACAUAUGUGUAAGUAACUGUGCACAUCUUGACGGUACCUAAUCAGAAAGCCACGGCUAACUACGUG
RNAcentral lists this ribosomal RNA (497 nucleotides) under uncultured bacterium. RNAcentral's name for it is "partial 16S ribosomal RNA". It matches the Rfam family "Bacterial small subunit ribosomal RNA", at positions 28 to 507 of the family's 1533-position model. The record is from RNAcentral.